AUUGAACGCUGGCGGCAGGCCUAACACAUGCAAGUCGAACGGUAACAGGGAUCAGCUUGCUGAUUCGCUGACGAGUGGCUGACGGGUGAGUAAUGUCUGGGAAGCUGCCUGAUGGAGGGGGAUAACUACUGGAAACGGUAGCUAAUACCGCAUAACGUCGCAAGACCAAAGAGGGGGACCUUCUGGCCUCGUGCGAUCGGAUGUGCCCAGAUGGGAUUAGCUAGUAGGUGGUGUAACGGCUCACCUAGGCGACGAUCCCUAGCUGGUCUGAGAGGAUGACCAGCCACACUGGAACUGAGACACGGUCCAGACUCCUACGGGAGGCAGCAGUGGGGAAUAUUGCACAAUGGGCGCAAGCCUGAUGCAGCCAUGCCGCGUGUAUGAAGAAGGCCUUCGGGUUGUAAAGUACUUUCAGCGGGGAGGAAGGGAGUAAAGUUAAUACCUUUGCUCAUUGACGUUACCCGCAGAAGAAGCACCGGCUAACUCCGUG
RNAcentral lists this ribosomal RNA (490 nucleotides) under uncultured bacterium. RNAcentral's name for it is "partial 16S ribosomal RNA". It matches the Rfam family "Bacterial small subunit ribosomal RNA", at positions 30 to 507 of the family's 1533-position model. The record is from RNAcentral.